AAGUCGUAACAAGGUAUCCGUAGGUGAACCUGCGGAUGGAUCAUUAUUGAAAACUUAGGUUUAGUAAGUGAAAGCUUAUCUUUACCACUAGAGUUUGUCUCUUCGGAGGCAGCUCGAAACACCAUUUUGUGAACUAGAAUUAUAUUUUGCAGUUGCUGGAGGGUUUUUUACUCUUUAGCUUCUGUUAAAAAAACAUUUAUUGUCUAGCGACUUUCUUUUUGAAAACCUACUGUAAUGGUAGAAAUAAAAAUUGAUAACAACUUUUGACAACGGAUCUCUAGGUUCUC
RNAcentral lists this unclassified non-coding RNA (287 nucleotides) under fungal sp. Its description in RNAcentral is "partial internal transcribed spacer region". The stretch from base 1 to 46 matches the Rfam family "Eukaryotic small subunit ribosomal RNA", at positions 1786 to 1831 of the family's 1831-position model. The record is from RNAcentral. Lineage: Eukaryota; Fungi.